UACGGGGGGGGCAAGCGUUGUUCGGAAUUACUGGGCGUAAAGGGCUCGUAGGCGGCCAACUAAGUCGGAUGUGAAAUCCCCAGGCUUAACCUGGGAACUGCAUCCGAUACUGGAUGGCUUGAAUCCGGGAGAGGGAUGCAGAAUUCCAGGUGUAGCGGUGAAAUGCGUAGAUAUCUGGAGGAAUACCGGUGGCGAAGGCGGCAUCCUGGACCGGCAUUGACGCUGAGGGAGCGAAAGCCAGGGGAGCAAACGGG
RNAcentral lists this ribosomal RNA (254 nucleotides) under uncultured bacterium. RNAcentral's name for it is "partial 16S ribosomal RNA". It matches the Rfam family "Bacterial small subunit ribosomal RNA", at positions 524 to 776 of the family's 1533-position model. The record is from RNAcentral.